RNAcentral lists this ribosomal RNA (105 nucleotides) under Cronartium quercuum f. sp. fusiforme. Lineage: Eukaryota; Fungi; Basidiomycota; Pucciniomycetes; Pucciniales; Coleosporiaceae. The record is from RNAcentral.
AUCUGGGGCCAUACCACAAUACACUUACCGCAUCCCGUCUGAUCUGCGCAGUCAAACAUUGUAGGGCCGAGUCAGUAGCGCGGUGGGGGACCACGCGGGAAUCCU